This 332-nucleotide ribosomal RNA is filed under the name uncultured eukaryote. Its description in RNAcentral is "partial 18S ribosomal RNA". It matches the Rfam family "Eukaryotic small subunit ribosomal RNA", at positions 1470 to 1796 of the family's 1831-position model. The record is from RNAcentral.
CCCUUAGAUGUUCUGGGCCGCACGCGCGCUACACUGUUCGACGCAGCGAGUCUUAACCUUGACCGAAAGGUUUGGGUAAUCUUCAGCAAAGUCGAACGUGAUGGGGAUCGAUCAUUGCAAUUAUUGAUCGUGAACGAGGAAUUCCUAGUAAGUGCAAGUCAUCAGCUUGCGCUGAUUACGUCCCUGCCCUUUGUACACACCGCCCGUCGCUACUACCGAUUGAAUGGUUUAGUGAGAUCUCUGGAUUGACGCUGGCUAGGGGGCGACCCUUGGCCAGACUGCUCGAGAAACUGCUCAAACUUGAUCAUUUAGAGGAAGUAAAAGUCGUAACA